GAUGAACGCUGGCGGCGUGCCUAAUACAUGCCAGUCGAGCGAACAGAUGAGGAGCUUGCUCCUCUGACGUUAGCGGCGGACGGGUGAGUAACACGUGGAUAACCUACCUAUAAGACUGGGAUAACUUCGGGAAACCGGAGCUAAUACCGGAUAAUAUAUUGAACCGCAUGGUUCAAUAGUGAAAGACGGUUUUGCUGUCACUUAUAGAUGGAUCCGCGCCGCAUUAGCUAGUUGGUAAGGUAACGGCUUACCAAGGCAACGAUGCGUAGCCGACCUGAGAGGGUGAUCGGCCACACUGGAACUGAGACACGGUCCAGACUCCUACGGGAGGCAGCAGUAGGGAAUCUUCCGCAAUGGGCGAAAGCCUGACGGAGCGACGCCGCGUGAGUGAUGAAGGUCUUCGGAUCGUAAAACUCUGUUAUUAGGGAAGAACAAAUGUGUAAGUAACUAUGCACGUCUUGACGGUACCUAAUCAGAAAGCCACGGCUAACUACGUG
This 497-nucleotide ribosomal RNA is filed under the name uncultured bacterium. RNAcentral's name for it is "partial 16S ribosomal RNA". It matches the Rfam family "Bacterial small subunit ribosomal RNA", at positions 28 to 507 of the family's 1533-position model. The record is from RNAcentral.